Non-coding RNA from Microcebus murinus (gray mouse lemur), 412 nucleotides. Lineage: Eukaryota; Metazoa; Chordata; Mammalia; Primates; Cheirogaleidae. The record is from RefSeq and is a predicted model, not a curated record.
UGUAGUAAGGACACUCAAACAGCCCUCAGACAGGCUCAUCUGGCCAGAAACUGCAGCCUCCCACCAACGGCAUGUAAGAAAGCAUCUUGGGAGGGAAUUCUCCAGCCCAGGCAAGACUUAGGAUGCCAGCAGCCCCCACACCUUUGACAAGGCAAAAAGCUAAGCCACUCCCAAAUUCCCAACCCACAGAAACUGGGAGACAGGACUCUCCAACCAGUUUCCAUGUUGACAGCUGAUGAAGGAAGCAGAAAUUGCAGGAUUCUGUCCACUAGAGGCCCUGCUGAUUAGGCAGGAAGGGGAAAGGGGUGAUUGUUUCUUACAGACUCAAAAGGAAAUAGAAGAGUGGAAGAGAAAGGGGAAUGACCAGACAGCUGAACAGCCAGAACACACAUUUAUGGAUGGUUUGCCAUCU